Molecule: ribosomal RNA, 253 nt
Filed under: uncultured bacterium
Lineage: Bacteria
Description: partial 16S ribosomal RNA
Rfam family: Bacterial small subunit ribosomal RNA
Source: RNAcentral
UACGUAGGGGGCAAGCGUUGUCCGGAUUUAUUGGGCGUAAAGAGCGUGUAGGCGGUUUGGUAGGUCCGCUGUGAAAACUCGAGGCUCAACCUCGAGACGCCGGUGGAAACCAUCAGACUAGAGUCCGGAAGAGGAGAGUGGAAUUCCUGGUGUAGCGGUGAAAUGCGCAGAUAUCGGGAGGAACACCGGUGGCGAAGGCGGUUCUCUGGGCCUUACCUGACGCUGAGGAGCGAAAGCGUGGGGAGCGAACAGG